RNAcentral lists this transfer RNA (312 nucleotides) under Drosophila pseudoobscura pseudoobscura. RNAcentral describes it as "GA31789". The stretch from base 225 to 296 matches the Rfam family "tRNA". Lineage: Eukaryota; Metazoa; Arthropoda; Insecta; Diptera; Drosophilidae. The record is from RNAcentral.
ACAAACAGUGUGUGUUUGCGGAAACUCCAGACGAAAAACGAUUCGCUGCUGAGGAAAAUGAGAUGACAGUGCAGAAGACCCAGAUUGAAGACCCCAAAAACCAGAAUAAUCGAAAUAAAAGCAUUGCCAAAUACAUAGCAGCGAACAAAUUGUAAAUAGGGAAAUGUUGAGGUUGACGCACGUCCAUUGGCAGAUGUUUAUGCUUUAGUCGGCAGGCGCACAUCUCCCAUAUUGUCUAGUGGUUAGGAUAUCCGGCUCUCACCCGGAAGGCCCGGGUUCAAUUCCCGGUAUGGGAAACUGUCAAAAGCUUCU